AUUGAACGCUGGCGGCAGGCCUAACACAUGCAAGUCGAGCGGAUGAAGGGAGCUUGCUCCUGGAUUCAGCGGCGGACGGGUGAGUAAUGCCUAGGAAUCUGCCUUGUAUUGGGGGAUAACGUCCGGAAACGGGCGCUAAUACCGCAUACGUCCUGAGGGAGAAAGUGGGGGAUCUUCGGACCUCACCCUAUCAGAUGAGCCUAGGUCGGAUUAGCUAGUUGGUGGGGUAAAGGCUUACCAAGGCGACGAUCCGUAACUGGCCUGAGAGGAUGAUCAGCCACACUGGAACUGAGACACGGUCCAGACUCCUACGGGAGGCAGCAGUAGGGAAUAUUGGACAAUGGGCGAAAGCCUGAUCCAGCCAUGCCGCGUGUGUGAAGAAGGUCUUCGGAUUGUAAAGCACUGUAAGUUGGGAGGAAGGGCAGUAAGUUAAUACCUUGCUGUUUUGACGUUACCAACAGAAUAAGCACCGGCUAACUUCGUG
This 484-nucleotide ribosomal RNA is filed under the name uncultured bacterium. Its description in RNAcentral is "partial 16S ribosomal RNA". It matches the Rfam family "Bacterial small subunit ribosomal RNA", at positions 30 to 507 of the family's 1533-position model. The record is from RNAcentral.